Molecule: long non-coding RNA, 487 nt
Organism: Passer domesticus (house sparrow)
Lineage: Eukaryota; Metazoa; Chordata; Aves; Passeriformes; Passeridae
Exons: 4
Source: RefSeq, a predicted model, not a curated record
GCACUGCUGCUCUGCUGGGACACUGGGCCACUGUUCUCUGAGGUCAAACCGCUACCGGUUCACAGCUCCAGGAAACCUCUCCAGGAAAGCUGCGAGGUCACUGGCAGGCAGAAUGGAUAUUGUUUUGUCUUAUCAGACAGCCUUGGUAGCAGAACAGAAAGUGCUUGCUGGGAAGUAAGCUUCUCAGACUGAAAGGAAAACUAAUGUGAUUUUCUUCAUAGACAACUUUAAUUUUAUUUGUGGUCUGCUUUAUGAUUGUUCCUAGACAUAAAACAUUGAAAGCUUGAAAGGAAAAUCAGAUUUUAGAUGAUAUGAAAAAGAGACUGGAAGCAAUAAGCACUGCUUCAUAAUGGGGUGGAAGAAAAUCUGCAAUGUUACUGGUAAUACAUGAAACUUUUAUGACUGAAAUCAUAUGAUGAAAUUUUGAAGAUACAUAACACAUAAUUUCUGCCCUUUUGCUGUAUACAGAUGACUGAGCAACACUAGA